Benincasa hispida (wax gourd) is the source of this 919-nucleotide non-coding RNA. The record is from RefSeq and is a predicted model, not a curated record. Lineage: Eukaryota; Viridiplantae; Streptophyta; Magnoliopsida; Cucurbitales; Cucurbitaceae.
GUUUGGCCUGGGGCAAUCACAAUUGUGUCUGUUUUGAAUGGUUUCACAUAGGUAGCAUCUACCUCCACAACUGUGAGCUUGUGCCCAGCAAUCUUGAAGAAGAGCUCCUCAUUGAGUGCAGCAUUGAUUAUGCGCAGUAAAACAGUUUGAGAUGGGUCCUGAAUGACCAUUGAUUGUGUGAGCAUCUGAUACAUUUGGAGCUAAUCCUGAUUUGAGAGCUUCAUUGAUCACGGCUUCGGUGUCGGAUUUCCACCACUCAGCUGUAGAAGCAGGAUCAUGUUUUAGAACCUGGUAAAAAAGGACGCCAAAGAUAUAUGUUAUUUUGCUUUCAAACUUGCUUACCUAAUACGACAACUACUUCUUUGUGAGGAGCUGGGAAUGGAUAUGGCACACCGCGCUUGGGCAAGAUGACCACAGCACCAUGGACAGUCGCCCUCAGCCACAGAAUAUGUGCGUGCCAAAGAAGGGUGCCUCUUUGGCCAGUAAUGGUGAAGUUAUAUAAAUAGCUUUUCCCUGAUGGGAUGGGACAUUGUGUAAUGUAUGCUGGUCCAUCGGCCCAACCAGUUCGAAGCUGUCGAACUCCAUGCCUGACCAGAAAAAGAAAUUCUGGAAGCCAAGAAACUCCCAGAGGAAACCAACUCAUUCCUCUACACUAAUGUAUUAGGUACUGGUUGUUGCUUGUAUUCUAUGAAACAAUUUGUCCAUAUUUUCAACAUCAUUCACAUGUUAAUUGAGAUACUGCACGCUUCAUAUCGUUCUUGAGAUGACCGGAGCGUUCUUCUCGAGAAUGGUUUUCUAAUACAUAUAGCUAAUCAAAACUCAGGUAAUUUAGAUUUGUGAAUGUAUAAUUACUGUAAUUUGUGUUUCUCACAAGUAUAUUGAAAAAUGUCAGUGGGAAGGAGGUGAAUAAUAUGGUUAG